RNAcentral lists this ribosomal RNA (448 nucleotides) under Oncholaimus dyvae. Its description in RNAcentral is "SSU rRNA". It matches the Rfam family "Eukaryotic small subunit ribosomal RNA", at positions 1168 to 1643 of the family's 1831-position model. The record is from RNAcentral. Lineage: Eukaryota; Metazoa; Nematoda; Enoplea; Enoplida; Oncholaimidae.
CACCAGGAGUGGAGCUUGCGGCUUAAUUUGACUCAACGCGGGGAAACUCACUUGGUCAGGACACUGUGAGGAUUGACAGAUUGAAAGCUCUUUCUUGAUUCGGUGGAUGGUGGUGCAUGGCCGUUCUUAGUUGGUGGAGUGAUUUGUCUGGUUAAUUCCGAUAACGAACGAGACUCUAUCUUGCUAACUAGUCACAGGAUUAUUCUGACUGUGGAGCUUCUUAGAAGGACAGGGGGUUACAACCCCACGAGAUUGAGCAAUAACAGGUCUGUGAUGCCCUUAGAUGUCCAAGGCUGCACGCGUGCUACACUGAAUGCGUCAGCAUGUGAACCUAACUCGGAGGAGUCUGGGGAACCCUUUGAAACGUAUUCGUGCUUGGGAUUGGGACUUGUAAUUAUUUCCCACGAACGAGGAAUUCCUAGUAAGCGCGAGUCAACAUCUCGUGCUG